CAUGCUCACGUCUCAACUCUCCGAGCAACAGUUUACGGAGCUCUAAUUAUCCGUCCAAGAUCCGGCCGUUCCUACCCGUUCCCUAAACCCGACAAAGAAGUUCCUAUCUUAUUAGGAGAGUGGUGGAAUGCUAAUGUUAUUGAUGUCGAGAACGAGGCACUUGCAACCGGCGGCGCUCCUAAUAUUUCCGAUGCUUACACCAUUAAUGGAAGGCCUGGUGAUCUUUACCCAUGUUCUCAA
This 240-nucleotide unclassified non-coding RNA is filed under the name Hevea brasiliensis (rubber tree). Lineage: Eukaryota; Viridiplantae; Streptophyta; Magnoliopsida; Malpighiales; Euphorbiaceae. The record is from RNAcentral.